Molecule: long non-coding RNA, 1703 nt
Organism: Oryctolagus cuniculus (rabbit)
Lineage: Eukaryota; Metazoa; Chordata; Mammalia; Lagomorpha; Leporidae
Source: Ensembl
CUGGGAUGUUUAGGUCACAUUGUUUUUCAAAAGUAUUUUUGAAAGAUUUUAUUUAUUUCUUUGAGAGGCAGGGUUACAGUCAGAGAGAGGGAGAGACAAGGAGAAAGGUCUUCCAUCCACUGGUUCACUCCCCAAAAGGCUGCAGCGCUGGAUCUGGGCCGAUCCGAAGCCAGGAGCCAGGAGCUUCCUCCAGGUCUCCCACAUGGGUGCAGGGGCCCAAGGACUUGGGCCAUCCUCUACCGCUUUCCCAGGCCAUAGCAGAGAGCUGGAUCGGAAGUAGAGCAGCCGGGACUCAAACCAGUGCCCAUAUGGGAUGCCAGGCCUGCAGGUAGAGGCUUAACCUAACAUGCCAUAGCACCAGCCCCUUCCCUCAGAUACUGUAAGAAGCACCGUGGUUGCUGGCUCUUAGUCUCCUCGCUGGCACUAAGCUUCAGUGGCCCAAUGUGCCCACUGGCUUGAUAACACACCCUCCCCCACCCCUCCCUUCCACUCCCCCUCCUUCCCUUCGCCUCUCCUUCCCUUCCCAGCCCCUCUACCAGUGUGCUUUUUGCAUUUCCCAAAUAACACUGCUGGCAAUCAUUUCUUUGCUUCCAGUAGAAGCUGGCAACCCGAACUGACACCCUUGUACCUUGUAUAAGGCUUCGCACGCUGCCAUCUGCUGACCGGGCACGUCUCUGGGGAUGGCUCCACUUGGCUCCAGAGAGUUCAGCAGCCUAUUAAGGAUGAUAAAGUUAUCUACCCACCUCGGCCUGUCUUCCUGCUUUCAUGGUCCGAGGUCGUGAGGUCGCUGCCCUCCGCGCCCUUUGCUUCUUCAGCGUCACGAACACCGGCCAGGGAACUGCCAAUCUCCUGGUCCCCAAGAUUCCUAGAGCCCAGGAGCCAAGCCAUCUUGAAAUCUCAUUUUCCUUGUCCUACCUGGCGACCUUUGGCAUUUUGGGGUGCUUGUGCAGGCACUUCCCACCUCCCCAUCUCCCACCAGUCCUCAGUGCCUGGAUUGGAAGUGGAGCAGCUGGGACUUGAACCGGCUCCCAUAUGGGAUGCCAGCAUUGCAGGCAGCGGCUUUACCCGCUACGCCACAGUGCCGGCCCCAGUAAAUCUUUUUUUUUUUUUUUUUUUUUUUGAAAAGCCCACAUUCCCAGGCUACUGGUCAGAUGGCUUGAGUGAGAAGGGCUAUGAGGAAAGACUGCAUAGUACGGCUAUUCGUGUGCCUACUGAGCGUGCAAACAUUGCCGAAUGUCCACAAUCUACUUCUAGAACUGAUUUCCUUGCUUGUUUUUUAUUUUUAUUUUUUUUGCCUCCCCCAUUCCCCCAUAAGGAUCUGGGUGUAGGCAGCCAACAAACGAGCCAUUCAAAUAGGGGGCUCCCGGCCUGGCGCUGUGGCACAGUGGGUUAAUGCCAUGGCCUGAAGCGCCAGCAUCUCAAAUGGGUGCCGGUUCGAGACCCGGCUGCUCCACUUCCGAUCCAGCUCUCUGCUAUAGUCUGGGAAAGCAGUGGAAGAUGGCUCAAGUGCUUGGGCCCCUGCACCCACAUGGGAGACCUGAAAGAAGUUCCUGGCUCCUGGCUUCGGAUUGGCACAGUUCCGGCCGUUGCAGCCAACUGGGAAGUGAACCAGCGGAUGGAAGAUGUCUUUCUCUCUCUCCUCUCUCUCUGUGUAACUCUGACUUUCAAAUAAAUAAAUAAAUAAAUAAAUCUUAAAAAAAAAU